This 417-nucleotide ribosomal RNA is filed under the name uncultured Pseudomonas sp. RNAcentral describes it as "bacterial SSU rRNA". It matches the Rfam family "Bacterial small subunit ribosomal RNA", at positions 966 to 1382 of the family's 1533-position model. Lineage: Bacteria; Pseudomonadati; Pseudomonadota; Gammaproteobacteria; Pseudomonadales; Pseudomonadaceae. The record is from RNAcentral.
GAACCUUACCAGGUCUUGACAUCCCUGACAACCGAGAGAUCGGGCGUUCCCCUUCGGGGGACAGGGUGACAGGUGGUGCAUGGUUGUCGUCAGCUCGUGUCGUGAGAUGUUGGGUUAAGUCCCGUAACGAGCGCAACCCUUGUCCUUAGUUACCAGCACGUUAAGGUGGGCACUCUAAGGAGACUGCCGGUGACAAACCGGAGGAAGGUGGGGAUGACGUCAAGUCAUCAUGGCCCUUACGGCCUGGGCUACACACGUGCUACAAUGGUCGGUACAAAGGGUUGCCAAGCCGCGAGGUGGAGCUAAUCCCAUAAAACCGAUCGUAGUCCGGAUCGCAGUCUGCAACUCGACUGCGUGAAGUCGGAAUCGCUAGUAAUCGUGAAUCAGAAUGUCACGGUGAAUACGUUCCCGGGCCUU